Molecule: long non-coding RNA, 451 nt
Organism: Mirounga angustirostris (Northern elephant seal)
Lineage: Eukaryota; Metazoa; Chordata; Mammalia; Carnivora; Phocidae
Exons: 3
Source: RefSeq, a predicted model, not a curated record
CCUCGAAGCCCGAGCUGCCGGCCGCCCGGAGCCGCGCGGGGAGCCCGGGGAGCUCGGGGAACAGCCACGACACGUUGGCCGAGAAACGGAGCGGAGCCAUGGCCGGCCGGGGACACGCGCGCAGGAGAGAGAGAGCACAAGCAGGGGGAGCAGCAGGCAGAGGGAGAGGGAGAAGAAGGCUCCCUGCUGAGGAAGCAGCCCGAUGUGGGGCUCGAUCCCAGGACCCUGGGAUCAUGACCUGAGCCGAAAGUAGACGCUCUACUGACUGAGCCACCCAGAUUGACAACAAAUUUUAAGUCAGACAUCAAAUAUUGGAUUGGAUUUGGAACAACAGGAACAUUUAUUCACUGCUGGUAGAAGUGUGUGAAUCACUACAAUCACUUUGGAAAACCAUCUGGCAGUAUCUCUGAAGGCUGAACAUCCAUAUACAAAGGAACUGUGGUUCCUUUCC